RNAcentral lists this ribosomal RNA (429 nucleotides) under uncultured bacterium. Its description in RNAcentral is "bacterial SSU rRNA". It matches the Rfam family "Bacterial small subunit ribosomal RNA", at positions 355 to 776 of the family's 1533-position model. The record is from RNAcentral.
UGAGGAAUAUUGCGCAAUGAGCGAAAGCUUGACGCAGCGACGCCGCGUGGAGGAUGAAGGUUUUCGGAUUGUAAACUCCUGUUAAGUGGGAAGAAAGUCAUAUUUCUAAUAAAGAUAUGGAAUGACGGUACCGCUAAAGAAAGCACCGGCUAACUUCGUGCCAGCAGCCGCGGUAAUACGAGGGGUGCUAGCGUUAUUCGGAAUUAUUGGGCGUAAAGGGUAUGUAGGCGGUUUAUUAAGUCUGUUGUUAAAUUUCUCAGCCUAACUGAGAUUCGGCGAUAGAAACUGAUUUACUAGAGUGUGGGAGAGAGAGGUGGAAUUCUCGGAGUAGCGGUAAAAUGCGUAGAUCUCGAGAGGAACACCGAUGGCGAAGGCAGCCUCUUGGCCCACUACUGACGCUGAGGUACGAAAGCGUGGGGAGCAAACAGG